Podarcis muralis (Common wall lizard) is the source of this 305-nucleotide non-coding RNA. The record is from RefSeq and is a predicted model, not a curated record. Lineage: Eukaryota; Metazoa; Chordata; Lepidosauria; Squamata; Lacertidae.
AAGAGCCUGCUGUGACAAGGAAGGCUAUGUUUGGCUUUCUGAUUACCAUGCAUUUUAUGAUGUCUUCUCCUCUCUGUUGUCUUCCAGCUGCUGUCUCACUAUCCCUGCAACAACAGUCCUGGAAGACAUAAGGCGAACCAACAGAUACUGGAAUGAAUGAAUGAAUACUAAUAUGAACUUCCAAGUUCAGUCCAGCUAUAUCAUAAGGACAUCAUGAUGAAAGGCAAGUGAGAAGUAACUAGAUAAGAUGCAAGCAGCACAGAGACCUGGAAAACAGGGAGUGACUGGACCAAGCAGUGCUGAUU